CCCCUAGAUGUUCUGGGCCGCACGCGCGCUACACUGAACAGUUCAACAAGUCUUAACCUUGGCCGAUAGGUCUGGGUAAUCUUUGAACGCUGUUCGUGAUUGGGAUAGACCUUUGCAAUUAUGGGUCUUCAACGAGGAAUUCCUAGUAAACGCAAGUCAUCAGCUUGCAUUGAUUACGUCCCUGCCCUUUGUACACACCGCCCGUCGCACCUACCGAUUGAGUGGUCCGGUGAAGCCUCCGGAUUGGCGCGCACCUCGGUGCCGCCGAGAAGUUGGCUAAACCUUACCAUUUAGAGGAAGGUGAAGUCGUAACA
Molecule: ribosomal RNA, 314 nt
Filed under: uncultured eukaryote
Lineage: Eukaryota
Description: partial 18S ribosomal RNA
Rfam family: Eukaryotic small subunit ribosomal RNA
Source: RNAcentral